Pogonomyrmex barbatus (red harvester ant) is the source of this 1410-nucleotide long non-coding RNA. Lineage: Eukaryota; Metazoa; Arthropoda; Insecta; Hymenoptera; Formicidae. The record is from RefSeq and is a predicted model, not a curated record.
UAUAAUGAUUAUCGAAAAAGGGAAAAAAAAGGAAUUUGAUACAUAAUUUCUAAUAAUAGAUACUUUUGCCUUGUGAAACAACUGAUCGAGAAUCCCAUCACUCGAUAUCAAACUUUAAAACUUUGUUGAGCGAAUAAAGCAAAUUGUAUACAACGAGCGGGUCGUACAAUAGAUAGAGUGUACAGAUUAGUAAAAAGCAUUUUAUGAUAAUAUUUUGGAUGAUGAAAGUAUAUGCUUCGUGGAAAUGCUUCGCGUUUCGCUCGCUAAUGUUAUUCUUCGUAUUAAAGUUUUUGAUAUCGAUGAGCCACAUGUACUUCUUUCGCAGUCCCUUGAUCCAUCAGUUUUUCUAAUUUGGCAAACGAUAUUCUAAUCUUAAAAGAAGUCGGGGCUUUGAUAGAUGAGGACGAUUCUUACCUAUCUUUCGAUGGAAAAUUAACUGAUCUUGACAAAGCGAUGGCGCGUUUUCCGCUCGAUAUUCGAAUUUUGAAAUUUAUCAUGUUGGGCCACGUUUUUGAAGUGUUACUUGCUUUGGAGAUGCUAUUAUUAUGGGAGCUAGUAUGUCUGUUAACGAUGUUGUUAUUCUUGAGAGAUGCCAUUCUACUGUUUCUUCAUAUACUACAACGGAAAAAAAAAAAAAAAAAAUGGAUUCGUUCCAACGAUGACUGCAUCGCUACUUUAAACGUUUAUAAAAUGUGGCAGAAUGAAAAGGCAAACUGUCGAUUAAACACUUAUCAAGCCGAGAGAUAAUGGACCUAAAGAAAUGGGGAGGGGGGAAUUCUCUAUUUAAGAACUCUUCGUGAAUUGGACUCUAGCGAAUAAAGUCACUAAUUGAUUAUUCCAUUUGGGAAUUAAAAAGAAUACUGAAGUAAACAAAGUCAUCUUUAGGAAGAUAAAUAAAUUGCAUAAUUGCAUAAAUAUCGGAAUGCAAUUGGACAAUAACUGUAAUAAUGAUGAUAUUAUAAUUUGUCAAAAUAAAUUUUAACACAUUUUACUCGAAUUGAGAAAAACAAACAAAAUCACGAAAUCCAGAAGAUGAUAAAGUCAAUUAUUUUAACAGUGAAUGGAAUUAUUAUAACAGACCGCCAUCUGCUCUAGAAAUGAUGAGAAAAUGUGACGUAUAUUCGUUGCAUAAAGCAUUAGAACUACGCGAAAUAGAUGAACAAAAGACCGAGGCUAUGUUGAAACAUCUCUUACAAUUACAGCGUCUUGCCAGGAUACACACGUAGUGGGAAAUGUAGCUGCUUUUUAUAAAUUAUGUAAAAAGGAAACAAUUGACUUAUUAGAAUUACGUGGUCAUCUUUAUUCGGAGCAACAUCUAGAAAACGAGAAACUUUUAUUAACACAUUAACUUGAAAAUUAAGAUACUAUAAUCAAAUUCCUUUAUUCUGAAAUUGAAAUUGAAAUUUUCCA